RNAcentral lists this ribosomal RNA (493 nucleotides) under uncultured bacterium. RNAcentral's name for it is "partial 16S ribosomal RNA". It matches the Rfam family "Bacterial small subunit ribosomal RNA", at positions 30 to 507 of the family's 1533-position model. The record is from RNAcentral.
AGUGAACGCUGGCGGUAGGCCUAACACAUGCAAGUCGAACGGCAGCACAGUAAGAGCUUGCUCUUACGGGUGGCGAGUGGCGGACGGGUGAGGAAUACAUCGGAAUCUACUUUUUCGUGGGGGAUAACGUAGGGAAACUUACGCUAAUACCGCAUACGACCUACGGGUGAAAGCAGGGGAUCUUCGGACCUUGCGCGAUUGAAUGAGCCGAUGUCGGAUUAGCUAGUUGGCGGGGUAAAGGCCCACCAAGGCGACGAUCCGUAGCUGGUCUGAGAGGAUGAGGGGGGCAAAGUGGAGUGAGAGCAGGAGCAAACGCGUACGGGAGGCAGCGGGAGGGAGGUUUAGGCAAUGGAGGAAAGGAGGACAGAGCCACGCAGGGGGAGGAAAGAAAGUUUUAGGAUCGUAAACCUCUGUGGGGAGAGAAGAAAGAUGAUGAGAGUGGAAAAACCAUGAAGUGGCGGUAACUACAAAGAAAGGGACGGCUAAUUAGGUG